Scophthalmus maximus (turbot) is the source of this 625-nucleotide long non-coding RNA. RefSeq lists it as uncharacterized. Lineage: Eukaryota; Metazoa; Chordata; Actinopteri; Pleuronectiformes; Scophthalmidae. The record is from RefSeq and is a predicted model, not a curated record. The transcript has 3 exons.
AUACAUUAUAGUGAAUUCUCUCAGUCCCAUAUGAAUUGAAGCAGACAGAGGAGAGACACUGAGCUACAAUACCACAUAUGAAAAUACCAAACCUUAUCGAGACCACCACCCGGAAAGAUAAGCACAAUUUUUGAGGUUGGGAAGGUGAUUUCGAAAAUCGCCGCAAAAUCCGACUCGCUUCCUUCAGACCUCCGUCCCAAGCCCCUCCCCCCUCAACACAUGAACGCGCACAGCUGCCUGAGUCUGACUCUGACUGCGUCGGAGGAGGAAGACACGAGUGGACCACAACAUGCUAACUGACUGCUCGUGGCUCAUUCACAAGCCAGAACUCGAGGACUGAGCUUGGAGAAGUGACGUGACACGAGCCUGCUGCUUCACUUUCUACACCUCACAUCAGCAGAUGCUGCUCCACCGGCCGUCCCGUUGCAGGUCAACCUACUUGUGUCUGCCAGAACUGCCCACAGACAUGGAAGGAUAGUGCCGAGGGCAACUUCAUGACCCCCGUGUCCAGGCUGCCACAUAUGGAGGUUUACAUUUUGCACACAGUAUUUUGUGCAAUACCAAUGUUAAUUUAUGUUCUGUAUAACCUGCUCUAUAUUGUUGGAAUAAAAAUAUUUUAAAUGUU